This is a non-coding RNA of Gymnothorax javanicus (giant moray), 73 nucleotides long. NCBI's taxonomy places the organism in Eukaryota, Metazoa, Chordata, Actinopteri, Anguilliformes, Muraenidae. The record is from the annotation of a GenBank genome assembly.
GGCACAGUGGAGCAGUGGUUAGCAUGGCUGCCUCAGAGCUAGAAGAUUGUGGGUUUGAAUCUAGCCUGGGGCC